CCGGGAGGGAGCAACAGGUGAAUCACUGCCCCUCAAACUGGAGCUCUACUUUCAUUUCGGAAGAAGAGAAACUCGACGUAUUUGUAUUUCUAGUGAAUCACCUCCCUGCUCGGUUGUGCUGAUGUGGUCGCAGUCUCAAAAACAAAAGCUUUAUGCUUUGACUGGACCAGGGGAGGAGGGAGGUGGGCACUGAGGAGGGGCAGCAGGUGAGACUGGGCACAAACCUAACCCCGUGACCAGCCUCGUUCAACCCCGGACUCUCCCUCCUCCCCUUCUCGUACACCCUCCUGCACUCAAACAGGCGGCGACGGGCGUUCCUUCCCUCCUCGGCUUCACACCAUGAACUCGUUGCUGCCGUACAGAACCAGCUGCUGUGGCCCCGAGCUGAAGUCUGACUCCCUCCGGUGGCUUCCCGAGGGUUCGCGUGGUGAGCUGCGGCUUAGCCUGAGCCUGUGGCGAGUCUUACCAGCUUUUUGGCUCCCCUCUGCCUCAGCCAACGGGGCACCCAACCCACAGGAGGUGAGGAGGGGCCCGGAGGAGGAGGAGCGGAACCGGUAGUGUGGGGAGGGAGAGCCAGAGGCGUUGGAGGAGAGAGAGGAAGAGGGGUGGUAGGAGGAGGAGAUGGUGGAGGUGGAAUCCGCAGAGUCUUGGGAGUCGGGCUGGCGGCGCAAACCUCGCCUUCCCUUUGCAUCCGACUUUCUAGAGCGAUAAGUGCCACGGUCUGCAGAGAAAGACAGCAGCAGUGGCAGAGAGGUGUUACAAACACAUUGUAUAGCGCUUAAUCCUACUCCAGCAAUGUUACUGAUUAAAAACACAUUAUAACCAUGUUGGCAAAUAUACUGUUUAGACACAUUUACAACAUUUAAAAGUACAAAUGUCACCAACAAGAGUUGAAGACAGAUUCAGAACUCAGAAAAAGCUUUGUGGGACAGAUGCUUUGGCACCUUUCAAACUACCUUCUAAAAGGUGUCACUAUGUCAGUAUGCGGUUUGACUUACUGGGGCUUUCCUUUCAACAGAAGCAGGUAAAGUGAAACUUGAACUUAUAUUUAUGUCUCAUAUUAAAGCAAAAGGAAGACAGCAGCAGUUUUAAUAUAGAGCAGAUCUAAAGCAUACUCUUUAUACUCCAAUAAUGUUAAUGUGGCAACCAUGGACUGCAACGUCCCGGGUUGCCAGGAAGGGACCAUUGUUGCAUGUUGUUCCCCAUUUCUCUCUCCGCUCAUUUCCUGUUUUCUGACUGCUGUUAGUUCUCUAACAUAUGCAUGAAAAUCCUUCCCAAAAUAAAAAAAAAAACACAAACACAA
This is a long non-coding RNA of Dicentrarchus labrax (European seabass), 1303 nucleotides long. RefSeq lists it as uncharacterized. The record is from RefSeq and is a predicted model, not a curated record. The transcript is spliced from 2 exons. NCBI's taxonomy places the organism in Eukaryota, Metazoa, Chordata, Actinopteri, Moronidae.